CCUACGGGGGGCAGCAGUGAGGAAUAUUGGUCAAUGGGCGCAAGCCUGAACCAGCCAAGUAGCGUGAAGGAUGACUGCCCUACGGGUUGUAAACUUCUUUUAUAAAGGAAUAAAGUGAAGCAUGUGUGCCUUUUUGCAUGUACCUUAUGAAUAAGGAUCGUCUAACUCCGUGCCAGCAGCCGCGGUAAUACGGAGGAUCCGAGCGUUAUCCGGAUUUGUUGGGUUUAAAGGGAGCGUAGGUGGGUUGUUAAGUCAGUUGUGAAAGUUUGCGGCUCAACCGUAAAAUUGCAAUUGAUACUGGCAGUCUUGAGUACAGUAGAGGUAGGCGGAAUUCGUGGUGUAGCGGUGAAAUGCUUAGAUAUCACGAAGAACUCCGAUUGCGAAGGCAGCUUACUGGACUGUCACUGACGUUGAUGCUCGAAAGUGUGGGUAUCAAACAGGAUUAGAUACCCGUGUAGUC
Molecule: ribosomal RNA, 460 nt
Filed under: uncultured bacterium
Lineage: Bacteria
Description: partial 16S ribosomal RNA
Rfam family: Bacterial small subunit ribosomal RNA
Source: RNAcentral